RNAcentral lists this ribosomal RNA (116 nucleotides) under Echinops telfairi (small Madagascar hedgehog). The record is from RNAcentral. Lineage: Eukaryota; Metazoa; Chordata; Mammalia; Afrosoricida; Tenrecidae.
GUCUGUGGCCAUACCACCCUGAAUGCGUUCAAUCUCGUCUGAUCUUGGAAGCUAAGCAGGGCUCAGCAUGGUUAGUACUUGGAUGGGAGAAAGUGGGCAAAGGAUAUGAAUAGACU